Molecule: ribosomal RNA, 499 nt
Filed under: uncultured bacterium
Lineage: Bacteria
Description: bacterial SSU rRNA
Rfam family: Bacterial small subunit ribosomal RNA
Source: RNAcentral
AUUGAACGCUGGCGGAAUGCUUUACACAUGCAAGUCGAACGGUAGAGGGGGCAACCCCUUGAGAGUGGCGAACGGGUGAGUAAUAUAUCGGAACGUGCCCAGUCGUGGGGAUAACGUAGCGAAAGUUACGCUAAUACCGCAUACGAUCUAAGGAUGAAAGCGGGGGAUCGCAAGACCUCGCGCGAUUGGAGCGGCCGAUAUCAGAUUAGGUAGUUGGUGAGGUAAAGGCUCACCAAGCCAACGAUCUGUAGCUGGUCUGAGAGGACGACCAGCCACACUGGAACUGAGACACGGUCCAGACUCCUACGGGAGGCAGCAGUGGGGAAUUUUGGACAAUGGACGCAAGUCUGAUCCAGCCAUUCCGCGUGCAGGAUGAAGGCCCUCGGGUUGUAAACUGCUUUUGUACGGAACGAAAAGGUUUCUAUUAAUACUAGGAGCUCAUGACGGUACCGUAAGAAUAAGCACCGGCUAACUACGUGCCAGCAGCCGCGGUAAAGUG